RNAcentral lists this ribosomal RNA (254 nucleotides) under uncultured bacterium. RNAcentral describes it as "partial 16S ribosomal RNA". It matches the Rfam family "Bacterial small subunit ribosomal RNA", at positions 524 to 776 of the family's 1533-position model. The record is from RNAcentral.
UACGAGGGGAGCAAGCGUUGUUCGGAUUUACUGGGCGUAAAGGGCGCGUAGGCGGCCACCGCAAGUCGACUGUGAAAUCUCCGGGCUUAACCCGGAAAGGUCAGCCGAUACUGCGGGGCUAGAGUGCAGAAGGGGCAACUGGAAUUCUCGGUGUAGCGGUGAAAUGCGUAGAUAUCGAGAGGAACGCCUGCGGCGAAGGCGGGUUGCUGGGCUGACACUGACGCCGAGGCGCGAAAGCUAGGGGAGCGAACGGG